RNAcentral lists this ribosomal RNA (390 nucleotides) under uncultured bacterium. RNAcentral describes it as "bacterial SSU rRNA". It matches the Rfam family "Bacterial small subunit ribosomal RNA", at positions 28 to 419 of the family's 1533-position model. The record is from RNAcentral.
GACGAACGCUGGCGGCGUGCUUAACACAUGCAAGUCGAGCGGUAAGGCCCUUUCGGGGGUACACGAGCGGCGAACGGGUGAGUAACACGUGGGUGACCUGCCCUCAGCUCUGGGAUAAGCCUGGGAAACCGGGUCUAAUACCGGAUAUGACUCCAUGACGCAUGUUGUGGGGUGGAAAGCCUUGUGCGGCUGAGGAUGGGCCCGCGGCCUAUCAGCUUGUUGGUGGGGUGAUGGCCUACCAAGGCGACGACGGGUAGCCGGCCUGAGAGGACGACCAGCCACACUGGGACUGAGACACGGCCCAGACUCCUACGGGAGGCAGCAGUGGGGAAUAUUGGACAAUGGGCGCAAGCCUGAUCCAGCGAUGCCGCGUGUGUGAAGAAGGCCUGC